This 228-nucleotide unclassified non-coding RNA is filed under the name Hevea brasiliensis (rubber tree). The record is from RNAcentral. Lineage: Eukaryota; Viridiplantae; Streptophyta; Magnoliopsida; Malpighiales; Euphorbiaceae.
AACUCCUGGCCAAGGUGCGCUAUGAGAAGGUCGAGGUUGCGGCGCCGUUCCGGCGUGCGAUCGUGAGCUAUCACCGCAAGGAAUCGCCGGGCUCCAUCGUCGUCGAUUCCGACAAUCANNNNNNNCUCGAGGGCGGCAAGGCGAUCCGUUACGGCAUCACCGUCGGCGAAGAGGCGCUUGCGUUCUCCGGCAUCGCCCGCGUCGGCAACAUGCAGGAAUGGCCGAAGU